This is a long non-coding RNA of Salvelinus sp. IW2-2015, 307 nucleotides long. RefSeq lists it as uncharacterized. NCBI's taxonomy places the organism in Eukaryota, Metazoa, Chordata, Actinopteri, Salmoniformes, Salmonidae. The record is from RefSeq and is a predicted model, not a curated record.
UCUACUCUCUCAGAGGAGGUUGUCUAGGUUUGGGUUCUGGACUCAACAAACGUCAGACAGAGAGAGCUCAGAGGACAGCGACAUUGCUGAGGUGAUGGAGAUGCUUCUGGACCAUGAAAAGAGCAGGAGGUCAGCAUACGUCAGAAACAAGUCAGCUGUGGUGAAGGCUGCUAAGAGACAGAGUGACAGAGAGCAGAGUGGUGAGUGUGCAGGGUUUACUUCCACCCCAACACUAAAACAGAACACUGAGUCAGUCUGAUGAUGUCAUCAUGGUUCUCACCAUCAGAGCCCAGAAAGAAAAGCAUGA